RNAcentral lists this non-coding RNA (109 nucleotides) under Nitritalea halalkaliphila. RNAcentral's name for it is "SAM-I sequence". It matches the Rfam family "SAM riboswitch aptamer (S box leader)". From Rfam's summary of the family: The SAM riboswitch is found upstream of a number of genes which code for proteins involved in methionine or cysteine biosynthesis in Gram-positive bacteria. The record is from RNAcentral. RNAcentral also lists the same sequence under 1 other name. Lineage: Bacteria; Pseudomonadati; Bacteroidota; Cytophagia; Cytophagales; Cyclobacteriaceae.
GAUUUAUAUAGAAGAGGCGAGAGACAGGCUCUAUGACCCUCUGGCAACCUGGAAAAUCCAAGGUGCCAAUUCCUGCCAUCGGUUGAUACAGCCGAGGGAACUAUAAAUU